CCUACGGGAGGCAGCAGUGGGGAAUAUUGGACAAUGGGCGAAAGCCUGAUCCAGCCAUGCCGCGUGUGUGAAGAAGGCCUUCGGGUUGUAAAGCACUUUCAGUGGGGAAGAAAGCCUUGGGACUAAUACCCUCGAGGAAGGACAUCACCCACAGAAGAAGCACCGGCUAACUCCGUGCCAGCAGCCGCGGUAAUACGGAGGGUGCGAGCGUUAAUCGGAAUUACUGGGCGUAAAGCGCGCGUAGGCGGUCUGAUAAGCCGGUUGUGAAAGCCCCGGGCUCAACCUGGGAACGGCAUCCGGAACUGUCAGGCUAGAGUGCAGGAGAGGAAGGUAGAAUUCCCGGUGUAGCGGUGAAAUGCGUAGAGAUCGGGAGGAAUACCAGUGGCGAAGGCGGCCUUCUGGACUGACACUGACGCUGAGGUGCGAAAGCGUGGGUAGCAAACAGGAUUAGAUACCCGAGUAGUC
This 465-nucleotide ribosomal RNA is filed under the name Vreelandella stevensii. Its description in RNAcentral is "partial 16S ribosomal RNA". It matches the Rfam family "Bacterial small subunit ribosomal RNA", at positions 338 to 795 of the family's 1533-position model. Lineage: Bacteria; Pseudomonadati; Pseudomonadota; Gammaproteobacteria; Oceanospirillales; Halomonadaceae. The record is from RNAcentral.